GUUGGGGAACAGACGAGCAACCGCCAUUUUGCGCAUUAAUUCACCAGAGGCGGUCAGGUUGUCUUAACGCAGGCAGAGGGGUGUGGCAGAUCUCCAACCGCUCGGGGUCCCGCGACUUCCAUUAAUGAAUUCGCACACUGGCCGUCACCACGCAACACACCGACGAUAUUCUGUCCAGAGGAAAAGUGUAGUGUGUUGAAAGCAUGUGGAAGAAAACCCCGGAUAUACAUAUACUUGUCUUCAAGGACGUGAUUUGCAGAUCUUCUGCAUUGCACAAAGUCGGAAUACUUGGUUGCAAGUGACAGAAAUUCAAAUCCUCCAAAAAGGAUUUAUUGGUUCAUGUAAUUGGGAAGUGCAAGAGUGUAUCUUACGGCAAGAGUGCAUCUGGAGACUCAAAUACUGCUGUCAAGACUCUCUCUCCAACUCUUUGUUUGCAUUGCUUUAUUCUUUUAGAGUCUCCCCUAGUGGCAGACAAAUGGCUGCCAGACAAACUCAAAUCUCCCAGUUAAGCAAUUGCAAUGGAGGAAAUAAGCCAAAUAACUCUCUACCAAUGUCCAUAUCUCAAUUUCAGGUUCUGUGUGCAUACUCCUAUGAUUAGCAGCCCCAGCACUAAUGCAUAGAGGAGAUAUUUCCCAAAGAAUUCUGAAGAAAGGGAGGUGGGAAAAUUAGGCAGAAAAGAAGAACAAUUCCCAUAGUCUAUUAUACCAAUGUUUCCCCACCUUAUAGUAAAGCAACUUUUUAAAAAAUUCUAGACAUAUUACAAACCAAUGUUUCUGUCCACUUAAAAUCAUUUAAUGUACUGCAUGUUUGUCUCUUUUUGGCUGUGCAGCAUUUGAAUCCCUGUCCUUUCUGGAAUUUGCCACUGUGAGAGCGUUAGUGGGAAGGCAGGCCACAUCCCCCAUCACA
Nomascus leucogenys (northern white-cheeked gibbon) is the source of this 906-nucleotide RNA transcript. It is a transcript of the gene named reticulon 1, with no coding region annotated. Lineage: Eukaryota; Metazoa; Chordata; Mammalia; Primates; Hylobatidae. The record is from RefSeq and is a predicted model, not a curated record.